RNAcentral lists this ribosomal RNA (492 nucleotides) under uncultured bacterium. Its description in RNAcentral is "partial 16S ribosomal RNA". It matches the Rfam family "Bacterial small subunit ribosomal RNA", at positions 29 to 507 of the family's 1533-position model. The record is from RNAcentral.
AGUGAACGCUGGCGGUAGGCCUAACACAUGCAAGUCGAACGGCAGCACAGUAAGAGCUUGCUCUUACGGGUGGCGAGUGGCGGACGGGUGAGGAAUACAUCGGAAUCUACUUUUUCGUGGGGGAUAACGUAGGGACACUUACGCUAAUACCGCAUACGACCUACGGGUGAAAGCAGGGGAUCUUCGGACCUUGCGCGAUUGAAUGAGCCGAUGUCGGAUUAGCUAGUUGGCGGGGUAAAGGCCCACCAAGGCGACGAUCCGUAGCUGGUCUGAGAGGAUGAUCAGCCACACUGGAACUGAGACACGGUCCAGACUCCUACGGGAGGUAGCAGUGGGGAAUAUUGGACAAUGGGCGCAAGCCUGAUCCAGCCAUACCGCGUGGGUGAAGAAGGCCUUCGGGUUGUAAAGCCCUUUUGUUGGGAAAGAAAAGCAGCAGGUUAAUACCCCGCUGUUCUGACGGUACCCAAAGAAUAAGCACCGGCUAACUUCGUG